This 410-nucleotide ribosomal RNA is filed under the name Nanotrachia intermedia. Its description in RNAcentral is "partial 16S ribosomal RNA". The record is from RNAcentral. Lineage: Eukaryota; Metazoa; Mollusca; Gastropoda; Stylommatophora; Camaenidae.
CAAAAACAUAGUUAUGAGUAUGUUUUCAUAAUGAUUUCUGCUCCAUGAUUUAUUAAAUAGCCGCAGUACCCUGACUGUGCAAAGGUAGCGUAAUAAUUUGACUUAUAAUUGAAGUCUCGUAUGAAAGAAUACAUGGGGGGUAACUUUAUUAAAGAUAAAUAAUGAACUUAAUAAUUAAGUGCAAAUUCUUAUAGCAAAAAGAUAGACGAGAAGACCCUAGAAAUUUUUAUAAAAGUGCAAUAAGAUUUUUUUGUUGGGGCAACAGAGUAACAAAUAAUUUACUUUAUAGUACACGCAUAUACAUAUGUUAGAUUAAAUUACUCUAGGGAUAACAGCGUAAUUUUAAAAAGUUUGCGACCUCGAUGUUGGACUAGGGACCAAAUAUUAGAAGGUGCGAUUUAAGCUCUGUU